This 439-nucleotide ribosomal RNA is filed under the name uncultured prokaryote. RNAcentral describes it as "bacterial SSU rRNA". It matches the Rfam family "Bacterial small subunit ribosomal RNA", at positions 355 to 796 of the family's 1533-position model. The record is from RNAcentral.
UGGGGAAUUUUCGGCAAUGCGCGCAAGCGUGACCGAGCGAUGCCGCGUGCGGGAUGAAGGCCUUCGGGUUGUAAACCGCGAAAGUUGGGAGGAAAGGCCUGUGCAGAGCAGGUCUUGACCAAUCUUCAGUAAGGACGGGCUAAGUUCGUGCCAGCAGCCGCGGUAAUACGAACCGUCCAAACGUUAUUCGGAAUCAUUGGGCUUAAAGGGUGCGUAGGCGGCGCGUUAAGUCGGGUGUGAAAUCCCUCAGCUCAACUGAGGAACUGCGCCCGAUACUGGCGUGCUCGAGGGAGACAGGGGUAAGCGGAACUGAUGGUGGAGCGGUGAAAUGCGUUGAUAUCAUCAGGAACACCGGUGGCGAAAGCGGCUUACUGGGCCUCUUCUGACGCUGAGGCACGAAAGCUAGGGUAGCGAACGGGAUUAGAUACCCCCGUAGUCC